Molecule: long non-coding RNA, 2939 nt
Filed under: Anthonomus grandis grandis
Lineage: Eukaryota; Metazoa; Arthropoda; Insecta; Coleoptera; Curculionidae
Description: uncharacterized LOC126746887
Source: RNAcentral
CCAGACAGACGUUGACUCGGACGUUGAUAUGGUAGAGAAUAAUCAGAACUUCGAAAUAGAGAAUGCUGAUGCACUGGAAAAUCCAGAUGGUCAAGAAAUCUUCGAUGCACCAGGAGAAAGGAAAAGAAGAAUAACACCCGAUCAAAGUCAAUGGAUAAGAGAAAGAAACAAAAAUUUACGUGUGCAAGGUGUAGCAAAUUUUAAUUCUCAACAUGGAUGCCAAAAGUGUACCAUUGUUGGAGAGUACUCCCAUAUAAUGCACACUAAUUACUAUCCCAAUAAGAAAUUUUCAAAAAGAACUGAUGAACAAUUUCGCUUGAAGACAGAUACAUACCAUCAUAAAACUGACUCUGUGAUCUUGAAACUUCCAAUUAACAUGAUAGAUUGUUUUCCAGUAGCUGACCCUCUUCAUUUGAUAGAUUUGGGAGUAAUGAAACGAUUGUUAACAGGUUGGCGUGAUGGUACGUAAUAAAUCCUUAAAAUGGCCUGCAAAAGUAAUGGAAAGUGUAUCAAAGCAGAUGCUAAAUAUAAAGUUACCCAAAGAGCUUCAUAGAGCGACUAGAGGGCUUGAUGUUUUGUCCUACUGGAAAGGAUUGGAGUAUAAAAGUUUUCUUUUGUAUAUCGGAAUUACUAUUUUAAGAGAUGUACUAGCACCUCAUGUUUAUGAACACUUUCUUGGUUUAUUUUGCGCUAUAACAAUUUGCUCGGAAUAUCUCCAUGUUGCUGAAGCAUUAUUAGACCGCUUUGUUUAUUGUUAUUCAAGUAUAUACGGUAAAUACUUUAUUACGAGUAACAUCCAUAAUGUAACACAUUUGAUAGAUGACGUUAGUGCUGGGAAAUUUAACAAAAUUUUCCGCCUAUCCUUUUGAAUCAAAAUUAUAUGAAAUUAAAAACAUGAUAAGAAAUGGCAAUAACCCGUUGGCUCAAAUAGCAAACCGGCUGAGUGAAAAGCAAAGUUUUGAUCUUUCCUUUUUAUCCAUGUUUAAAAAAUGUGACGGAUGAUGCUUUUCUUCGUAAUAGUAUUAAACCAGGUGAAACUACAACUAUCUUUAAAUAUAUUUUUUUUGAAGGGUUUUGUCUUGGCGGUGGUGAUGAAAAUAGAUGGUUUUUAACUAAACAGAAUGAAAUAGUGUACUUUGAAGCUCUGAAUUUUUGAACUUUGAAGUCUUUUUACUAUACAGGAGAAUGAUUUCCAUUUAUCUUUUGGAGCGGAGCUUUCAUCCAAUACGGCACCCAUUUGUGACUUUGGAGGCCACCAUAACGUUCCAUCUUUCUCCCACCCUGCUUGGGACUGCUGAUAUACAUAUCGUUCCCCGUUCUAUAAUUUGGACCACUUUAAAUGGCAUUUUCUAAAAUAAAAUAUUGCUUAGGUAACUUAGGUUACAGUUUGAUCCAAUAGGUUUUCCAGUACCUAAUCAACUUAAUUCAAUCUAAAAUACUAUUACAAAGACAAAAAUGUAGUGUUAAUACAAGGAUUAAAGUAGGUAUGAUUGCUCACGGUAACUAAAAACAUACCAAAAUAUGAAGUUCAAUACUAUACAAUUUUUAAGUUUUAAAUAUUUAAAAAUCUGCUUUUUAUAUGUAUUAUAUUUUUGUAUUUAUUAAAUUUACUAAUAAAAAAAUCCAAAAUUUAUAAAGAAUAUAAACCUAAAGAUAAAUUACCUUUAUUGUUGAAGCUUUUUUUUUUAACUUUAAAAAGUCAAUACCUUUUUAUGUACCUAAAUACAGCCCUGUAUGCAUUUUGAACGAUAAAAAAACACACUUUUAUUUUCACAGUAACUGGAACCACCAAAACCAAACGCAAACUAAAUUGCAAUAAAGAAGACUCAAGAAAUCCCGCGUAGUAAUAAAUAAUGCCAAUAGAUCCUACUAAAUGCCUAAAAGCCAUUUAUUGAAAUUCGCCCAGACUUUGCGAGCUAAUUGGUUAUUAAAAAUGGCCUAUAAGUCCUGGAAGAUGCUAGUUAGCCCUGUUUUAGCUUUUUUUAAAACCCACUGGCAUUUUUUUAAGACUUUUGUCCUAUGACAUAGCUUUUGAUACUUACUUAAGUUAUUAUAGCAGCUUAAAAGCAUAUCCUGCUAGGCGUCCAUUUUGAAGAAAAAAUUUAAUUCUUCCAUUUUUAUAAGCUAUUCAAAUACAGGCAAAAAUAAUGUAAUAUGUAAACAAUUUAGAUAAUAUAUAAAGACACUGGAGCAUUUAAGUACAUAUUAUCGCUAAAGCAUCUCAGAAAUAAAAAUUAAUUAUUUUUUUAUUUUUUUAUUGCCACUGAAUAAUGUUUAAUUUGUAAGAUAUCAAAGGCGCGCGUGUUUUACAGUGAAAUUACACCCAACUUUUUCAAGAAACUGGUGUGCGCAAUGAAAAUCGGUCAUCUAUUCCAGUAUAAUAUAUUUUUUUCUAAAAUAAAGUAAUACUUAUAACCUCUUUAGGGCUGGGCCUUUUUUUACUACAGGAGGUUAUGCGGGCUAAUAAAUAACGUUGUUUGUGCUUAAUGGCAUAAUCAAUAAUUUUUCUUAAACCGGUUCUAGGAGUUAUUUAUAACCUUUUUAGAACCUAAAUUGUUACUUGGGCAAUAUGCAUAGUCAACAAUGUAAAAUUCCUGCAAGUAAAUUUAAACACUUGCAAGUGUUUUGCCACGAGAUGUCCAUCACUUGUACAUAAAUGUCCUAAACCUCCCUCUAACACUGGUCAUAUGACUCGCCAGGUUAACGAUUUUCCCUUACCAAUCCCUACAUCCUCCCUCACGAAGAACUCACUUAUAUACCUCAGCAAAAAAAUUUACGACCAUGUUCCUCUAUGUAUCAGACAAAUUUUAGAAGUUAAGAGAUUCAAAAAGGAAUUAAAAUCACUUUUAUUAUCCAGGGCAUAUUAUAGCCUUGACGAUUUUUUUAAUGAUACCUUUUAACCUGUGCUCUGACAUCAUUUUAGUGUUUUAGUUUUGUUU